Molecule: small nuclear RNA, 146 nt
Filed under: Castor canadensis (American beaver)
Lineage: Eukaryota; Metazoa; Chordata; Mammalia; Rodentia; Castoridae
Description: U4 spliceosomal RNA (ENSCCNG00000022277.1)
Rfam family: U4 spliceosomal RNA
About the family: U4 small nuclear RNA (U4 snRNA) is a component of the major U2-dependent spliceosome. The structure of U4 snRNA from yeast and human has been reported.
Source: Rfam by way of RNAcentral
AUCUUUGCACAGUGUCAGUAUCAUAACCAACGCAAUGAGGUUUAUCCAAGGUAUGAUUAUUGCUAAUAGAAAACUUUUCCCAAUAUCCUGUUGUGACGACUUGGAAUAUAGUCAGCAUUAGCAAUUUUUGACAGUCUCUAAGGAAA